RNA transcript from Asparagus officinalis (garden asparagus), 1922 nucleotides. It is a transcript of the gene named mitogen-activated protein kinase 4, with no coding region annotated. NCBI's taxonomy places the organism in Eukaryota, Viridiplantae, Streptophyta, Magnoliopsida, Asparagales, Asparagaceae. The transcript is spliced from 5 exons. The record is from RefSeq and is a predicted model, not a curated record.
AUGAUGGUCUCGAGGAAGCGGCGAGUAACAUGUGCCGCCGGCGUAACGUAAAGGAGACAACUCCACGCGCCUGCCGACGGCUGCGUAUGUCGGUUACUACUUAUAUAUUUCUUUUUUCGCGCCACACACUCUCUCUCUAGACUGAGAUAGUAAGAUAUAUAAUAGAGAAGAGGAAUUAGGGCAACGAAAGUUAUGGGGACAAAAUCGAUGUGACGAUGGAUGAGUUGGGUGCAGAGCGAGAUCUCCUAGGGUUUUGACAGAGAGAGAGAGAGAGAGAGAGAGAGAGAGAGAGAGGAGAUCGGAACGAUCGAUGCUCGGAAUUAGGGUUUGCGAUCGCGGGUUUGACGAGUCCUUGAUGGACUUGAGAAUUGGGUAAAGAGCUUCACAUAGCGAAAGUUGCUAUCUUUGAGUAAGAUCUGGUCUUAGAUUGCAAUCACAUUUUUGGUGGAAACAAGGAAAUGGCAUCGAUGGUCGACCCUCCAAAUGGCAUUCGAACGAAGGGGAAACAUUACUUCACAAUGUGGCAGAGUAUUUUUGAGAUUGAUCUUAAGUAUGUUCCUAUCAAGCCUAUUGGAAGAGGAGCUUACGGGAUUGUAUGUUCUUCAAUAAACAGAGAAACAAAUGAGAAAGUUGCAAUCAAGAAAAUAAACAAUGUCUUCGAUAAUCGCAUUGAUGCGCUUCGAACUUUGAGGGAGCUGAAGCUUCUUCGACAUCUACGCCAUGAGAAUGUUAUUGCUUUGAAGGAUAUCAUGAUGCCUAUCCACAGGAGGAGCUUCAAGGAUGUCUACCUGGUUUAUGAGCUCAUGGAUACUGAUCUGCAUCAAAUUAUUAAAUCAUCUCAGCCACUUUCCAAUGACCAUUGUCAGUACUUCCUGUUUCAGUUGCUUCGAGGAUUAAAGUAUCUACACUCAGCAAAUAUUCUUCACCGAGACUUGAAGCCUGGUAACCUCCUAAUCAACGCUAACUGUGACCUCAAGAUAUGUGACUUUGGUUUGGCUCGAACUAGGAAUAGAAAAGAUCAGUUCAUGACUGAAUAUGUUGUUACCCGCUGGUACCGAGCUCCUGAGCUUCUUCUUUGCUGUGAUAACUAUGGAACCUCUAUAGAUGUUUGGUCUGUAGGCUGUAUCUUUGCUGAGCUCCUCGGCCGAAAGCCUAUUUUCCCUGGCACGGAGUGCCUCAACCAGUUAAAGCUUAUUGUCAACGUACUUGGAACUCUGGAUGAUGCUGAUCUUAGCUUCAUUGAUAAUCCAAAGGCACAUAGGUACAUCAAGUCUCUACCAUUCUCCCCUCCAAUUCCUCUGAGUACCCUUUAUCCAAAUGCAAACCCAUUGGCUAUCGACUUGCUUCAAAAAAUGCUCGUCUUUGAUCCAUCUAAGAGAAUUAGUGUUACAGAAGCAUUACAGCAUCCUUAUAUGUCUCCCCUUUAUGACCCGAGUGCCAAUCCUCCAGCUCAAGUCCCUAUUGACCUUGACAUUGAUGAAGAUCUUGGAGAAGAUAUGAUCAGGGAGCUGAUGUGGAGGGAGAUGCUUUACUACCAUCCAGAAUCUGCAUCCUCCAACAACUGUUAAAAUCAUUUGGUGAUGAGUCGACAUUCAUUUUCACCACUUUAUAAGCGUAGAAUGAUGCCUAUAACCUAUCAAGUGCCAGCGCAUUCUUUAUGCCAUAUCAACGUUCACCGUCACCACUUUAAAGUGUAGAAUUGUGGAAAUCUUUACCAGCGUGGGGAGACCAAUUGCAGGGUGUUUCAGCGAUAUCUGUACUGUGCUUAGACGGUGCAACAUUUGGAAAUAAUUAAUGGAAUUAAUCCGGGAGGGUUUUUUUGUCUUGAAAUCUGAUUCGUUACUUCAAGUAGAUUUUUGGAGUAUUUAUCAAAAGGAACAAACGUAGAUUAAAUUCUUUUGAAUUUGUCCGAUUGAGAUAUC